GUGAUCUAAAUUCUGUUCUAAACUGAUUGAAGAGUUCUAAGGUUCAAGCAAAGGUCUUGGGGUUCUGCAUCACGCAAUGAAGGAGAGGAAAGUUAGAAAGAGAGAGAGAGAAAGAGAGAGAGAGAGAGAGAGAAUAGAAAAACAGAGAAAAAGGGUGCCUACCUAACAGAAGUGACAGAAUUUGAGGGAACUUGGGUGCUUUUCCUUGAGGAAACUCUGUGCAAAUUGUGAGAAGAAGGGCGAGGAAGGAAGAAUAAAAAAAAAGGGAUAAAAGGAGGGAGAAAGCUCAUAACGAGCACAAGGGAACCUGCGAGCUUAAGGUAAGG
RNAcentral lists this long non-coding RNA (326 nucleotides) under Carica papaya (papaya). RNAcentral's name for it is "long non-coding RNA (CPAP_LNC004236)". Lineage: Eukaryota; Viridiplantae; Streptophyta; Magnoliopsida; Brassicales; Caricaceae. The record is from RNAcentral.